CUAAUACAUGCGAGUCGAACGAAGNAGCAANACUGAGUGGCAGACGGGUGAGUAACAUGUAGGUNUCGUACCCUUUGGCCGUGGAAUAACAGGAGGAAACGUUGUGCUAAUACCGGAUAAGUCUUUACGGAGAAAGCUUUAUGCACCAUUGGAUGAGCCUGCACUUGAUUAGUUUGUUGGUGGGGUAAUGGCCUACCAAGACAAUGAUCAAUAGCUGAUUUGAGAGGAUGAUCAGCCACAUUGGGACUGAGACACGGCCCAAACUCCUACGGGAGGCAGCAGUAGGGAAUCUUGCACAAUGGAGGAAACUCUGAUGCAGCGAUGCCGCGUGAGUGAAGAAGGCCUUUGGGUUGUAAAGCUCUUUCGUCGGGGAAGAAAAUGACUGUACCCGAAUAAGAAGGUCCGGCUAACUUCGUGCCAGCAGCCGCGGUAAUACGAAGGGACCUAGCGUAGUUCGGAAUUACUGGGCUUAAAGAGUUCGUAGGUGGUUAAAAAAGUUGGUGGUGAAAUCCCAGAGCUUAACUCUGGAACUGCCAUCAAAACUUUUUAGCUAGAGUAUGAUAGAGGAAAGUAGAAUUUCUAGUGUAGAGGUGAAAUUCGUAGAUAUUAGAAAGAAUACCGAUUGCGAAGGCAGCUUUCUGGAUCAUUACUGACACUGAGGAACGAAAGCAUGGGUAGCGAAGAGGAUUAGAUACCCUCGUAGUCCAUGCCGUAAACGAUGUGUGUUAGACGUUGGAAAUUUAUUUUCAGUGUCGCAGCGAAAGCGAUAAACACACCGCCUGGGGAGUACGACCGCAAGGUUAAAACUCAAAUGAAUUGACGGGGACCCGCACAAGUAGUGGAGCAUGUGGUUUAAUUCGAAGAUACGCGCAGAACCUUACCAACACUUGACAUGUUCGUCGCGACUCUAAGAGAUUAGAGUUUUCGGU
RNAcentral lists this ribosomal RNA (929 nucleotides) under uncultured bacterium. RNAcentral's name for it is "bacterial SSU rRNA". It matches the Rfam family "Bacterial small subunit ribosomal RNA", at positions 48 to 1020 of the family's 1533-position model. The record is from RNAcentral.